GGAUUGCCCUAGUAACGGCGAGUGAAGCGGCAACAGCUCAAAUUUGAAAUCUGGCUCUUUCAGAGUCCGAGUUGUAAUUUGCAGAGGGCGCUUUGGUGUUGGCAGCGGUCCAAGUUCCUUGGAACAGGACGUCACAGAGGGUGAGAAUCCCGUACGUGGUCGCUAGCCUUCGCCGUGUAAAGCCCCUUCGACGAGUCGAGUUGUUUGGGAAUGCAGCUCUAAAUGGGAGGUAAAUUUCUUCUAAAGCUAAAUACUGGCCAGAGACCGAUAGCGCACAAGUAGAGUGAUCGAAAGAUGAAAAGCACUUUGGAAAGAGAGUCAAAUAGCACGUGAAAUUGUUGAAAGGGAAGCGCUUGCAGCCAGACUUGCCUGUAGUUGCUUAUCCGGACUUUUGUCCGGUGCACUCUUCUGCGGGCAGGCCAGCAUCAGUUUGGGCGGUUGGAUAAAGGUCUCUGUCAUGUACCUCUCUUCGGGGAGAACUUAUAGGGGAGACGACAUGCAACCAGCCUGGACUGAGGUCCGCGCAUCUGCUAGGAUGCUGGCGUAAUGGCUGUAAGCGGCCCGUCUUGAAACACGGACCAAGGAGUCUAACAUCUAUGCGAGUGUUUGGGUGUCAAGCCCAGACGCGUAAUGAAAGUGAACGGAGGUGGGAACCCUUUGGGUGCACCAUCGACCGAUCCUGAUGUCUUCGGAUGGAUUUGAGUAAGAGCAUGGCUGUUGGGACCCGAAAGAUGGUGAACUAUGCUUGAAUAGGGUGAAGCCAGAGGAAACUCUGGUGGAGGCUCGCAGCGGUUCUGACGUGCAAAUCGAUCGUCAAAUUUGGGCAUAGGGGCG
RNAcentral lists this ribosomal RNA (834 nucleotides) under Paraphoma vinacea. RNAcentral describes it as "eukaryotic LSU rRNA". It matches the Rfam family "Eukaryotic large subunit ribosomal RNA", at positions 72 to 925 of the family's 3401-position model. Lineage: Eukaryota; Fungi; Ascomycota; Dothideomycetes; Pleosporales; Phaeosphaeriaceae. The record is from RNAcentral.